This 1632-nucleotide ribosomal RNA is filed under the name Salmonella enterica. RNAcentral describes it as "partial 23S ribosomal RNA". It matches the Rfam family "Bacterial large subunit ribosomal RNA", at positions 1189 to 2803 of the family's 2925-position model. Lineage: Bacteria; Pseudomonadati; Pseudomonadota; Gammaproteobacteria; Enterobacterales; Enterobacteriaceae. The record is from RNAcentral.
AUGCACCGAAGCUGCGGCAGCGACACUGUGUGUUGUUGGGUAGGGGAGCGUUCUGUAAGCCUGUGAAGGUGUGUCGUGAGGCAUGCUGGAGGUAUCAGAAGUGCGAAUGCUGACAUAAGUAACGAUAAAGCGGGUGAAAAGCCCGCUCGCCGGAAGACCAAGGGUUCCUGUCCAACGUUAAUCGGGGCAGGGUGAGUCGACCCCUAAGGCGAGGCCGAAAGGCGUAGUCGAUGGGAAACGGGUUAAUAUUCCCGUACUUGGUGUUACUGCGAAGGGGGGACGGAGAAGGCUAUGUUGGCCGGGCGACGGUUGUCCCGGUUUAAGCGUGUAGGUGUGUGUUCCAGGUAAAUCCGGUUCACUUUAACACUGAGGCGUGACGACGAGGCACUACGGUGCUGAAGCAACAAAUGCCCUGCUUCCAGGAAAAGCCUCUAAGCAUCAGGUAACAUCAAAUCGUACCCCAAACCGACACAGGUGGUCAGGUAGAGAAUACCAAGGCGCUUGAGAGAACUCGGGUGAAGGAACUAGGCAAAAUGGUGCCGUAACUUCGGGAGAAGGCACGCUGACACGUAGGUGAAGUGAUUUACUCAUGGAGCUGAAGUCAGUCGAAGAUACCAGCUGGCUGCAACUGUUUAUUAAAAACACAGCACUGUGCAAACACGAAAGUGGACGUAUACGGUGUGACGCCUGCCCGGUGCCGGAAGGUUAAUUGAUGGGGUCAGCGCAAGCGAAGCUCCUGAUCGAAGCCCCGGUAAACGGCGGCCGUAACUAUAACGGUCCUAAGGUAGCGAAAUUCCUUGUCGGGUAAGUUCCGACCUGCACGAAUGGCGUAAUGAUGGCCAGGCUGUCUCCACCCGAGACUCAGUGAAAUUGAACUCGCUGUGAAGAUGCAGUGUACCCGCGGCAAGACGGAAAGACCCCGUGAACCUUUACUAUAGCUUGACACUGAACAUUGAGCCUUGAUGUGUAGGAUAGGUGGGAGGCUUUGAAGUGUGGACGCCAGUCUGCAUGGAGCCGACCUUGAAAUACCACCCUUUAAUGUUUGAUGUUCUAACGUGGACCCGUGAUCCGGGUUGCGGACAGUGUCUGGUGGGUAGUUUGACUGGGGCGGUCUCCUCCUAAAGAGUAACGGAGGAGCACGAAGGUUGGCUAAUCCUGGUCGGACAUCAGGAGGUUAGUGCAAUGGCAUAAGCCAGCUUGACUGCGAGCGUGACGGCGCGAGCAGGUGCGAAAGCAGGUCAUAGUGAUCCGGUGGUUCUGAAUGGAAGGGCCAUCGCUCAACGGAUAAAAGGUACUCCGGGGAUAACAGGCUGAUACCGCCCAAGAGUUCAUAUCGACGGCGGUGUUUGGCACCUCGAUGUCGGCUCAUCACAUCCUGGGGCUGAAGUAGGUCCCAAGGGUAUGGCUGUUCGCCAUUUAAAGUGGUACGCGAGCUGGGUUUAGAACGUCGUGAGACAGUUCGGUCCCUAUCUGCCGUGGGCGCUGGAGAACUGAGGGGGGCUGCUCCUAGUACGAGAGGACCGGAGUGGACGCAUCACUGGUGUUCGGGUUGUCAUGCCAAUGGCACUGCCCGGUAGCUAAAUGCGGAAGAGAUAAGUGCUGAAAGCAUCUAAGCACGAAACUUGCCCCGAG